Molecule: ribosomal RNA, 60 nt
Filed under: Amanita exitialis
Lineage: Eukaryota; Fungi; Basidiomycota; Agaricomycetes; Agaricales; Amanitaceae
Description: partial 28S ribosomal RNA
Source: RNAcentral
UUGACCUCAAAUCAGGUAGGACUACCCGCUGAACUUAAGCAUAUCAAAAGCCGGGAGGAA